Molecule: ribosomal RNA, 406 nt
Filed under: uncultured bacterium
Lineage: Bacteria
Description: bacterial SSU rRNA
Rfam family: Bacterial small subunit ribosomal RNA
Source: RNAcentral
UAGGGAAUAUUGGGCAAUGGGCGAAAGCCUGACCCAGCGACGCCGCGUGGGGGAAGAAGUCCCUCGGGAUGUAAACCCUUGUUGUACGGGACGAAGGAAGUGACGGUACCGUACGAGGAAGCCCCGGCAAACUACGUGCCAGCAGCCGCGGUAAUACGUGGGGGGCGAGCGUUGUCCGGAAUCACUGGGCGUAAAGCGCACGUAGGCGGGCUGUUAAGUCGGCCGUGAAAGGCACUGGCUCAACCGGUGUUUGUCGGUCGAUACUGGCAGUCUGGAGUAUGGGAGAGGGAACUGGAAUUCCCGGUGUAGCGGUGAAAUGCGUAGAUAUCGGGAGGAACGCCAGUGGCGAAGGCGGGUUCCUGGCCCAUGACUGACGCUGAGGCGCGAAAGCCGGGGGAGCGAACGG